AAGUCGUAACAAGGUCUCCGUAGGUGAACCUGCGGAGGGAUCAUUACCGAGUUCAUGCCCUUCGGGGUAGACCUCCCACCCUAUGUUAUCAUUACCUUUGUUGCUUUGGCGGGCCGCUAGGCUCCGGCCCAGCUACCGGCUCACGCUGGUAAGCGCCCGCCAGAGGACCCCAAACUCUGAGUAUUAGUGUCGUCUGAGUACUAUAUAAUAGUUAAAACUUUCAACAACGGAUCUCUUGGUUCUG
This 244-nucleotide unclassified non-coding RNA is filed under the name Cadophora sp. Its description in RNAcentral is "partial contains small subunit ribosomal RNA, internal transcribed spacer 1, and 5.8S ribosomal RNA". The stretch from base 1 to 46 matches the Rfam family "Eukaryotic small subunit ribosomal RNA", at positions 1786 to 1831 of the family's 1831-position model. The record is from RNAcentral. Lineage: Eukaryota; Fungi; Ascomycota; Leotiomycetes; Helotiales; Ploettnerulaceae.